GGGGGUGUAGCUCAGUUGGGAGAGCGUCUGCUUUGCACGCAGAAGGCCAGCGGUUCGAAUCCGCUCAUCUCCA
RNAcentral lists this transfer RNA (73 nucleotides) under Bacillota bacterium. RNAcentral's name for it is "Firmicutes bacterium (hot springs metagenome) tRNA-Ala". It matches the Rfam family "tRNA". From Rfam's summary of the family: Transfer RNA (tRNA) molecules are approximately 80 nucleotides in length. Their secondary structure includes four short double-helical elements and three loops (D, anti-codon, and T loops). Further hydrogen bonds mediate the characteristic L-shaped molecular structure. tRNAs have two regions of fundamental functional importance: the anti-codon, which is responsible for specific mRNA codon recognition, and the 3' end, to which the tRNAs corresponding amino acid is attached (by aminoacyl-tRNA synthetases). tRNAs cope with the degeneracy of the genetic code in two manners: having more than one tRNA (with a specific anti-codon) for a particular amino acid; and 'wobble' base-pairing, i.e. permitting non-standard base-pairing at the 3rd anti-codon position. The record is from RNAcentral. Lineage: Bacteria; Bacillati; Bacillota.